GAAUGGGAUAAGAGAUCUCCAGGCUGUUCUGCAGGACUUGGACGAUCAGAGCAAGUUGUGAUCCCAAAAUGUAAGGACUUAACUUUUCCCUUGUAGGGGAAAAACCCUUUCUGUGUGAGGCACAGGGAUGUGGUCGCUCCUUUGCCGAAUACUCCAGCCUUCGGAAACAUUUGGUUGUCCACUCAGGACUGAAGCCCCACCAGUGCCAAAUUUGUGGGAAGACAUUUUCCCAGAGUGGUAGCAGAAACGUGCAUAUGAGGAAACAUCACUCCCGAAUUGGAACAUCUGGCAGCAGAGAGCGAGAACAGCCAGAGUCACUGAUGGGCAGCAGUUUGCUGGAAGAAUCUACAGUGCAUAGUAAGAAUCUCAUCUCCAUGAACUCUCAGCCCAGCCUUGGUGUCGAGUCCCUGCACCUGCCAGACACCGAGUCCAUCAUCGGAGUAGAGGAGGGUGAGACCAGCUGCUCCUUUUUCCGCCCUCUGAUCUGCGGUGACUGAAGGGGGAUCCAUCGUUUCUCCUAGAGGCUCACCAUGUUGCAGUGGGAUGAGUGAACAUUGCUUUAACUGUGCACAGAGCAGGUGGGUAGAUGGAGAAUGGGGCCAACUGGAGUUGGAGAAGACCUACUGGACCAAGUUUCUCUCUUGCAGAGCUUAAAAGGUGAAGUCUGCUGCUUAGGUGUCAUUUAGCCCAUGUCGUGGAAUGCCAUUUCAAAACUGUUUAUACAGCCCAUUCUCCUAAAGCCUAAAGCACUUGUUUUGCUGGAGCACCCGGGGGCCCCAGCUGAGGAGCAGGACCUCAUGGUGCUAGGCACUGUACAAACAUUCGGCAUCUCAAGCAACAGGCCCUCCUCCACCCUUUACCUUCAGAGACUAUAUUCUAAUACAUCUCACUGUCAGAAGCUGACUUACUAUCUGAAAUAAAUGUACAACUUGAUAUCAUUUAA
Long non-coding RNA from Calidris pugnax (ruff), 943 nucleotides. RefSeq lists it as uncharacterized. Lineage: Eukaryota; Metazoa; Chordata; Aves; Charadriiformes; Scolopacidae. The record is from RefSeq and is a predicted model, not a curated record. The transcript is spliced from 3 exons.